RNAcentral lists this ribosomal RNA (403 nucleotides) under bacterium. Its description in RNAcentral is "partial 16S ribosomal RNA". It matches the Rfam family "Bacterial small subunit ribosomal RNA", at positions 355 to 776 of the family's 1533-position model. The record is from RNAcentral.
UGGGGAAUAUUGCACAAUGGGUGAAACCCUGAUGCAGCGACGCCGCGUGAACGAAGAAGGUAUUCGUAUCGUAAAGUUCUGUCCUAUGGGAAGAUAAUGACAGUACCAUAGAAGAAAGCUCCGGCUAAAUACGUGCCAGCAGCCGCGGUAAUACGUAUGGAGCGAGCGUUGUCCGGAAUUAUUGGGCGUAAAGGGUACGCAGGCGGUUUAAUAAGUCGAAUGUUAAAGAUCGGGGCUCAACCCCGCAAAGCAUUGGAAACUGAUAAACUUGAGUAGUGGAGAGGAAAGUGGAAUUCCUAGUGUAGUGGUGAAAUACGUAGAUAUUAGGAGGAAUACCAGUAGCGAAGGCGACUUUCUGGACACAAACUGACGCUGAGGUACGAAAGCGUGGGGAGCAAACAGG